RNAcentral lists this ribosomal RNA (253 nucleotides) under uncultured bacterium. RNAcentral's name for it is "partial 16S ribosomal RNA". It matches the Rfam family "Bacterial small subunit ribosomal RNA", at positions 524 to 776 of the family's 1533-position model. The record is from RNAcentral.
UACGGAGGAUGCAAGCGUUAUCCGGAAUGAUUGGGCGUAAAGCGCCCGCAGGCGGCAGUUCAAGUCUGCUGUCAAAGACCGGGGCUUAACUUCGGAAAGGCAGUGGAAACUGAACAGCUAGAGUAUGGUAGGGGCAGAGGGAAUUCCUGGUGUAGCGGUGAAAUGCGUAGAGAUCAGGAAGAACAUCGGUGGCGAAGGCGCUCUGCUGGACCAUAACUGACACUCAGGGACGAAAGCUAGGGGAGCGAAUGGG